CUUCGGAGUGAGCGGCGGACGGGUUAGUAACGCGUGGGAACGUGCCCUUCUCUAAGGAAUAGCCACUGGAAACGGUGAGUAAUACCUUAUACGCCCUUCGGGGGAAAGAUUUAUCGGAGAAGGAUCGGCCCGCGUUAGAUUAGAUAGUUGGUGGGGUAAUGGCCUACCAAGUCUACGAUCUAUAGCUGGUUUUAGAGGAUGAUCAGCAACACUGGGACUGAGACACGGCCCAGACUCCUACGGGAGGCAGCAGUGGGGAAUCUUGGACAAUGGGCGCAAGCCUGAUCCAGCCAUGCCGCGUGAGUGAUGAAGGCCUUAGGGUCGUAAAGCUCUUUCGCCAGAGAUGAUAAUGACAGUAUCUGGUAAAGAAACCCCGGCUAACUCCGUGCCAGCAGCCGCGGUAAUACGGAGGGGGUUAGCGUUGUUCGGAAUUACUGGGCGUAAAGCGCACGUAGGCGGAUCAGAAAGUAUAGGGUGAAAUCCCAGGGCUCAACCCUGGAACUGCCUUGUAAACUCCUGAUCUUGAGUUCGAGAGAGGUAAGUGGAAUUCCGAGUGUAGAGGUGAAAUUCGUAGAUAUUCGGAGGAACACCAGUGGCGAAGGCGGCUUACUGGCUCGAUACUGACGCUGAGGUGCG
Molecule: ribosomal RNA, 636 nt
Filed under: uncultured Alphaproteobacteria bacterium
Lineage: Bacteria; Pseudomonadati; Pseudomonadota; Alphaproteobacteria
Description: bacterial SSU rRNA
Rfam family: Bacterial small subunit ribosomal RNA
Source: RNAcentral